AUUGCCCAGGUGAACUAUGUAAAUGUGAAUCACUAUAGCCCAGGUCUAAAGCAGUGGGUAUUCUGGAUAAACCCUGAAAUCAUUAGGGAGCUUUAAAAUAUGCUAAUGCCUAAUUCUUAUUCACAGAUGUAUAGGCUUAAUUAGGCUAAAGCUGGCCCCCAGCACAAGUAGUUUUUAAAUCUCUGCAGGUGAUUCUAAUACACAUGCUGAUUUUUCAACCAUUGGAGUGCUUACCUCCCUACCUAGAGUGAUUGUUUCAGAUGUAGGAAUUCAAUCUAAUUCAACCUAUGAAAGGCUAACCCUGAACAUUUGUCUGAUCUGAGGAAAAGAUAAACUCUCUUUCAAGCUGGAAGUGAAGCUAUAGAAUUUAGAGCAGCUGUACACCUCUGAGGAUGAGUAUCAUACCUGCCUACGUGGAAGAAACAGAACUGAGGAGAGAGAUGGAGUAAAACAGGUGGAGUCUUUACCACCAGCACCACCUGGGAAGCCCUCUGACUCAAUACAUUUACUUUAUAAUUGAGAAGACUAAGGACUACAGUGGAUUGGAGAAGAGCUCCCUGCAAGUGAGGAUCAAGGAUGGUCAACAGGACUGGACACAGAACAGCAAGAAUAGAACCCAGUGCAUCCAUAGAAUACUCGCACUUGCCUAUUUGCAAUUGUCUUCAUCUCAUUGAUAUUUAUUUUUUUCCAUUAAGUGCUUGGAUUUUUUUAAGAUAUUUGAGUUCUGAAGUUCAUAACCAUUUACUAAGUUUGCAAUCUAAGAAAAAGUAACAACCUGGUAGAUGAAUAUACAACAAAUGGAAAUCUUUGAUCAAAUAAAUUUAAGUGCUUUUUAA
Bubalus bubalis (water buffalo) is the source of this 836-nucleotide long non-coding RNA. RefSeq lists it as uncharacterized. The record is from RefSeq and is a predicted model, not a curated record. The transcript is spliced from 2 exons. NCBI's taxonomy places the organism in Eukaryota, Metazoa, Chordata, Mammalia, Artiodactyla, Bovidae.